Molecule: ribosomal RNA, 410 nt
Filed under: uncultured bacterium
Lineage: Bacteria
Description: bacterial SSU rRNA
Rfam family: Bacterial small subunit ribosomal RNA
Source: RNAcentral
GAUGAACGCUGGCGGCGUGCUUAACACAUGCAAGUCGAGCGAAGCGCUAAAGCGGAUUUCUUCGGAUUGAAGUUUUAGUGACUGAGCGGCGGACGGGUGAGUAACGCGUGGGUAACCUGCCUCAUACAGGGGGAUAACAGUUGGAAACGGCUGCUAAUWCCGCAUAAGCGCACAGUACCGCAUGGUACGGUGUGAAAAACUCCGGUGGUAUGAGAUGGACCCGCGUCUGAUUAGGUAGUUGGUGGGGUAACGGCCUACCAAGCCGACGAUCAGUAGCCGACCUGAGAGGGUGACCGGCCACAUUGGGACUGAGACACGGCCCAAACUCCUACGGGAGGCAGCAGUGGGGAAUAUUGCACAAUGGGGGAAACCCUGAUGCAGCGACGCCGCGUGAGCGAAGAAGUAUUUCG